UUCGCAAUGCCCGAAAGGGUGACGAAGCGACGCCGCGUGCGGGAAGGAGGCCUUCGGGUUGUAAACCGCUGUCGGGAGUUAGGAAAUGCAAGGAUGUAAAUAGCAUCUUUGCUUGACUAAGGCUCCGGAGGAAGCCACGGCUAACUCUGUGCCAGCAGCCGCGGUAAUACAGAGGCGGCAAGCGUUGUUCGGAAUUAUUGGGCGUAAAGAGCACGUAGGCGGCUGUGUAAGUCGGUUGUGAAAGCCUUCCGCUCAACGGGAGAACGGCAUCCGAUACUGCAUGGCUAGAGUGCGGGAGGGGAGAGUGGAACUUCUGGUGGAGCGGUGAAAUGCGUAGAUAUCAGAAGGAACGUCGGCGGCGAAAGCGACUCUCUGGCCCGAAACUGACGCUGAGUGUGCGAAAGCUAGGGGAGCAAACGGGAUUAGGUACCCCGGUAGUCCUAGCCGUAAACGAUGGGCACUAAGUAGAGGGGUUUU
RNAcentral lists this ribosomal RNA (477 nucleotides) under uncultured anaerobic ammonium-oxidizing bacterium. Its description in RNAcentral is "bacterial SSU rRNA". It matches the Rfam family "Bacterial small subunit ribosomal RNA", at positions 365 to 832 of the family's 1533-position model. The record is from RNAcentral.